This 490-nucleotide ribosomal RNA is filed under the name uncultured bacterium. RNAcentral's name for it is "partial 16S ribosomal RNA". It matches the Rfam family "Bacterial small subunit ribosomal RNA", at positions 30 to 507 of the family's 1533-position model. The record is from RNAcentral.
AUUGAACGCUGGCGGCAGGCCUAACACAUGCAAGUCGAACGGUAACAGGAAGCAGCUUGCUGCUUUGCUGACGAGUGGCGGACGGGUGAGUAAUGUCUGGGAAACUGCCUGAUGGAGGGGGAUAACUACUGGAAACGGUAGCUAAUACCGCAUAACGUCGCAAGACCAAAGAGGGGGACCUUCGGGCCUCUUGCCAUCGGAUGUGCCCAGAUGGGAUUAGCUAGUAGGUGGGGUAACGGCUCACCUAGGCGACGAUCCAUAGCUGGUCUGAGAGGAUGACCAGCCACACUGGAACUGAGACACGGUCCAGACUCCUACGGGAGGCAGCAGUGGGGAAUAUUGCACAAUGGGCGCAAGCCUGAUGCAGCCAUGCCGCGUGUAUGAAGAAGGCCUUCGGGUUGUAAAGUACUUUCAGCGGGGAGGAAGGGAGUAAAGUUAAUACCUUUGCUCAUUGACGUUACCCGCAGAAGAAGCACCGGCUAACUCCGUG